AGUGAACGCUGGCGGUAGGCCUAACACAUGCAAGUCGAACGGCAGCACAGUAAGAGCUUGCUCUUACGGGUGGCGAGUGGCGGACGGGUGAGGAAUACAUCGGAAUCUACUUUUUCGUGGGGGAUAACGUAGGGAAACUUACGCUAAUACCGCAUACGACCUACGGGUGAAAGCAGGGGAUCUUCGGACCUUGCGCGAUUGAAUGAGCCGAUGUCGGAUUAGCUAGUUGGCGGGGUAAAGGCCCACCAAGGCGACGAUCCGUAGCUGGUCUGAGAGGAUGAUCAGCGACACUGGAACUGAGACACGGUCCAGACUCCUACGGGAGGCAGCAGUGGGGAAUAGUGGACAAUGGGCGCAAGCCUGAUCCAGCCAUACCGCGUGGGUGAAGAAGGCCUUCGGGUUGUAAAGCCCUUUUGUUGGGAAAGAAAAGCAGCAGGUUAAUACCCCGCUGUUCUGACGGUACCCAAAGAAUAAGCACCGGCUAACUUCGUG
This 492-nucleotide ribosomal RNA is filed under the name uncultured bacterium. RNAcentral's name for it is "partial 16S ribosomal RNA". It matches the Rfam family "Bacterial small subunit ribosomal RNA", at positions 29 to 507 of the family's 1533-position model. The record is from RNAcentral.